Molecule: ribosomal RNA, 253 nt
Filed under: uncultured bacterium
Lineage: Bacteria
Description: partial 16S ribosomal RNA
Rfam family: Bacterial small subunit ribosomal RNA
Source: RNAcentral
UACGUAGGGGGCAAGCGUUGUCCGGAAUUAUUGGGCGUAAAGAGCGUGUAGGCGGUCCGGUAAGUCAGCUGUGAAAGCCAAGGGCUCAACCCUUGAAAGCCGGUUGAUACUGUCGGGCUAGAGUCCGGAAGAGGCGAGUGGAAUUCCCGGUGUAGCGGUGAAAUGCGCAGAUAUCGGGAGGAACACCAAUGGCGAAGGCAGCUCGCUGGGACGGUACUGACGCUGAGACGCGAAAGCGUGGGGAGCAAACAGG